This 69-nucleotide transfer RNA is filed under the name Ictidomys tridecemlineatus (thirteen-lined ground squirrel). Its description in RNAcentral is "Spermophilus tridecemlineatus (thirteen-lined ground squirrel) tRNA". It matches the Rfam family "tRNA". Rfam says of the family: Transfer RNA (tRNA) molecules are approximately 80 nucleotides in length. The record is from Rfam by way of RNAcentral. Lineage: Eukaryota; Metazoa; Chordata; Mammalia; Rodentia; Sciuridae.
GGGGUUGUGGCUCAGUGGUAGAGCGCUCACCUAGCAUGUGCAAGACCCUGGGUUCAAUCCUCAGCACCA